AAAAUCAGAUCCAAAUUCAAAUUCAUUCUUAGUUUUUUUUUUUUUUGGUAAAAGAAAAAAAGAAAAUUUCAAAAUGUAUUUCACUAGAACUCUUGUGCUUCUACUUGUUUGUUUGAUAGCAAUGUUUGGUACAACAUUUGCAUGUAAAAAAGAAAACGAAAGUUGCAGCAGUGACAGGGAAUGUUGCAGUGGAGGUUGCAGAGCAUACUUUGGAAAAUUAAACAAAACAUGCUGGAGAGAAGUCAAUGGCUGAUUUAUUUGGCACAAUUUGAUCAUUAACGAUAUAUACGAUAAGGAGAAUGAAAUAUGAAUAAUAUAUUUUUUUUAAUGUAUUUUUAAUAUCAAAUAAUAUUUUGUUGAAAAUAAAGAUAACAUGUGACAAAAAAACAAAAA
Molecule: long non-coding RNA, 393 nt
Organism: Leptopilina boulardi
Lineage: Eukaryota; Metazoa; Arthropoda; Insecta; Hymenoptera; Figitidae
Exons: 2
Source: RefSeq, a predicted model, not a curated record